Molecule: ribosomal RNA, 500 nt
Filed under: uncultured Myrionecta
Lineage: Eukaryota; Ciliophora; Litostomatea; Cyclotrichida; Mesodiniidae
Description: SSU rRNA
Rfam family: Eukaryotic small subunit ribosomal RNA
Source: RNAcentral
UGUGUUCAAGAUAAGCCAUGCACGUCUAAGUACAAACUAAAUGAUGGUGAAACUGCAAAUGGCUCAUUACAACGGUUAUGAUGUAACCGGGAGUUCCGAUGGAUAUUUCCAGUAACACUAGAACUAAUACAUGUCCCUGCGUUUAUUAGUUUCGCACAGUCCGUCGCUGAGUCAUGGUAAACAGUUGAUCGACUCGACGUCCCGGAACAGUUUCCGCCCCAUCAGCUUCGAUGGUUGGGUAUUGGCCUACCAUUGCAACAACGGGUAACGAGGAAUUAGGGUUUGAUUUCGGAGAGGGAGCCUGAGAAACGGCUACCACAUCUACGGAUGGCAGCAGGCGCGCAAAUUACCCAAUGCAGACACUGUGAGGUAGUGACGAGAAAUAAUAAAGCGGGACUUCUGUUUCGCUAUUAUAAUGAGGAAUAACCAAAGGUCAUUCCGAUUAGCAACUGAUGGGAAAGUCUGGUGCCAGCAGCCGCGGUAAUACCAGCGUCAGUAGC